Molecule: ribosomal RNA, 1496 nt
Filed under: uncultured bacterium
Lineage: Bacteria
Description: 16S ribosomal RNA
Rfam family: Bacterial small subunit ribosomal RNA
Source: RNAcentral
AGAGUUUGAUCCUGGCUCAGGACGAACGCUGGCGGCGUGCCUAACACAUGCAAGUCGAGCGGGGACAUACGGAACGAGGGAUUCGUCCCAAGGGAAAUAUGUUCCAGCGGCGGACGGGUGAGUAACGCGUGAACGAUCUGUCCCUGACAGGGGGAUAACACAUGGAAACAGGUGCUAAUACCGCAUAAGACCACAGCGCUGCAUGGCGCAGGGGUCAAAGGAGGAAUCCGGUGAGGGGUGAGUUCGCGUCUGAUUAGAUAGUUGGUGAGGUAACGGCCCACCAAGUCAACGAUCAGUAGCCGACCUGAGAGGGUGAUCGGCCACAUUGGAACUGAGACACGGUCCAAACUCCUACGGGAGGCAGCAGUGGGGAAUAUUGGGCAAUGGGCGAAAGCCUGACCCAGCAACGCCGCGUGAGGGAUGAAGGUUUUCGGAUUGUAAACCUCUGUCCUUGGUGACGAAGGAAGUGACGGUAGCCAAGGAGGAAGCCCCGGCUAACUACGUGCCAGCAGCCGCGGUAAUACGUAGGGGGCGAGCGUUGUCCGGAAUGACUGGGCGUAAAGGGCGCGUAGCGGUUUUAUAGUUAGAGUGAAAUCCAGUUUUUAAGGKUGGAACUGCUUUUAAUACUGUAGGACUUGAGUGCAGAAGAGGUAAGCGGAAUUCCCAGUGUAGCGGUGAAAUGCGUAGAGAUUGGGAAGAACACCAGUGGCGAARGCGGCUUACUGGGCUGUAACUGACGCUGAGGCGCGAAAGCGUGGGGAGCGAACAGGAUUAGAUACCCUGGUAGUCCACGCUGUAAACGAUGAAUGUUAGGUGUAGGGGGUAUCGACCCCUCCUGUGCCGGAGUAAACACAAUAAACAUUCCGCCUGGGGAGUACGGCCGCAAGGUUGAAACUCAAAGGAAUUGACGGGGGCCCGCACAAGCAGCGGAGCAUGUGGUUUAAUUCGAAGCAACGCGAAGAACCUUACCAGGUCUUGACAUCGAUCUAAAGCCUGUAGAGAUACAGGGGCCCUUCGGGGGAGAGAAGACAGGUGGUGCAUGGUUGUCGUCAGCUCGUGUCGUGAGAUGUUGGGUUAAGUCCCGCAACGAGCGCAACCCUUAUGAUCAGUUACUAACGCGUAGAGGCGAGGACUCUGAUGAGACCGCCGGGGACAACUCGGAGGAAGGUGGGGACGACGUCAAAUCAUCAUGCCCCUUAUGACCUGGGCUACACACGUGCUACAAUGGUGGCAACAAAGAGGAGCGAAGCCGCAAGGCGGAGCGGAUCUCAAAAAAGCCAUCUCAGUUCGGAUUGUGGGCUGCAACCCGCCCACAUGAAGUUGGAGUUGCUAGUAAUCGCGGAUCAGAAUGCCGCGGUGAAUACGUUCCCGGGCCUUGUACACACCGCCCGUCACACCAUGGGAGUUGGGAGCACCCGAAGUCAGUGUGGUAACCGCAAGGGGCCAGCUGCCGAAGGUGAGACUGAUGACUGGGGUGAAGUCGUAACAAGGUAACC